CCUACGGGAGGCAGCAGUGAGGAAUAUUGGUCAAUGGGCGCGAGCCUGAACCAGCCAAGUAGCGUGAAGGAUGACUGCCCUACGGGUUGUAAACUUCUUUUGUCAGGGAGCAAUUGGCGCUACGUGUAGCGUUAUCGAGAGUACCUGAAGAAAAAGCAUCGGCUAACUCCGUGCCAGCAGCCGCGGUAAUACGGAGGAUGCGAGCGUUAUCCGGAUUUAUUGGGUUUAAAGGGUGCGUAGGCGGAAUGCCAAGUCAGCGGUAAAAUCGCGGGGCUCAACCUCGCUCCGCCGUUGAAACUGGCGUUCUUGAGUGGGCGAGAAGUAUGCGGAAUGCGUGGUGUAGCGGUGAAAUGCAUAGAUAUCACGCAGAACUCCGAUUGCGAAGGCAGCAUACCGGCGGCGAUCUGACGCUGAGGCACGAAAGCGUGGGUAUCGAACAGGAUUAGAUACCCGAGUAGUC
Molecule: ribosomal RNA, 460 nt
Filed under: uncultured bacterium
Lineage: Bacteria
Description: partial 16S ribosomal RNA
Rfam family: Bacterial small subunit ribosomal RNA
Source: RNAcentral